GCCCAGACAACUAGGAUGUUGGCUUAGAAGCAGCCAUCAUUUAAAGAGUGCGUAAUAGCUCACUAGUCGAGUGACACUGCGCCGAAAAUGUACCGGGGCUAAACAUAUUACCGAAGCUGUGGAUUGUCCUUUGGACAAUGGUAGGAGAGCGUUCUAAGGGCGUUGAAGCAUGAUCGUAAGGACAUGUGGAGCGCUUAGAAGUGAGAAUGCCGGUGUGAGUAGCGAAAGACGGGUGAGAAUCCCGUCCACCGAUUGACUAAGGUUUCCAGAGGAAGGCUCGUCCGCUCUGGGUUAGUCGGGUCCUAAGCUGAGGCCGACAGGCGUAGGCGAUGGAUAACAGGUUGAUAUUCCUGUACCACCUAUAAUCGUUUUAAUCGAUGGGGGGACGCAGUAGGAUAGGCGAAGCGUGCGAUUGGAUUGCACGUCUAAGCAGUAAGGCUGAGUAUUAGGCAAAUCCGGUACUCGUUAAGGCUGAGC
This 477-nucleotide ribosomal RNA is filed under the name Staphylococcus aureus. RNAcentral describes it as "partial 23S ribosomal RNA". It matches the Rfam family "Bacterial large subunit ribosomal RNA", at positions 1083 to 1561 of the family's 2925-position model. Lineage: Bacteria; Bacillati; Bacillota; Bacilli; Caryophanales; Staphylococcaceae. The record is from RNAcentral.